Cygnus olor (mute swan) is the source of this 2254-nucleotide long non-coding RNA. RefSeq lists it as uncharacterized. The record is from RefSeq and is a predicted model, not a curated record. The transcript is spliced from 6 exons. Lineage: Eukaryota; Metazoa; Chordata; Aves; Anseriformes; Anatidae.
AAGCUGACAGCUGCAGCCUGCAACGUAUCAGGUGCCUUAUAUAGCAACUGUAAUGAAAACUCACAUGAGUGUAAGGUCAGUCUCUCCACAGUAUGUACUAAUUAAAUUUCCACUUUCCUUUAAAAAGCAGAUCACAUCUGGCCCAAAGACAGGAACCCAUUGUGCCAGACAUGUAAUGGAAUAGGUGUUGUUUUGUACUUCUCAUCUCUGAAAGAUAAUGACAUGGAAAAUUCAUUCUCUUCUACUCUUUAGUAAUCUUCCAUCUGCUAUUGUAGUUGUUUGUACAGCUGAAAACAAAAGCUAAUCACAAACCUCUACUUUAAAAGAGUUUUUUUGUGAGCUCCCAUGUCAACAUUAGUUUAUAUAGACGAGGUUGUUGAAGCAGAAGUGUUGCAAAGCAGUGUGGAAUAUGGUUCAAUGGUAUUUGCAAGAUUGGGUUAUUAAUAUUGCAGCAUCCAUGUAAACUAGUUGCUAGAAAUUAGAUUUAUUUUUUUUUAUAUAUAGAUAUUUUCAUAGCUUGUUGUCCACUUUAAUAUGUUUCAGGACCAAAGACAGUUAUUUCUUCCAAGCUGUUUGUCAGAAAGGCGAUUCCAAAUGAACUUCCAAGAAAUUGAAGUUGAUGAGCAGAUUCCAAGAUGAGCAGUAUUACCAUGGCCAUACAACAGGCACACCAUGACUGGAGGAGAUUGCUCUGCAAAGAACAGACUCUUUGGAGAAAUACCACAGAACCACUCAUGUUGAUGUGAAACACAUGUUUUGCAGAUGCAGAGGUCUCCCAGUGGAAGACUAAUGUUCACAAUUCAACAAGAUUGUUGAUCAUCAGUGAGAAGAGCCAGCAGAAUAUUUAAAGCUUUGAAAAAAAAAGUAUUGAAGAGGAAGAGCUCCAGGAGCUCCGUUUACUUAAUCUAUCCAAUGAAAGUUUUAGAGCAUGUGAGUAUCUCCUGGUUGAAGUAAUUGGGUUCUCUUGCCUGGCCACAUGUAUACAAAGAUCAGUCUGGAUAUUCAAUGACCAGAGCAGGAUUAUUUCUUGCAAGCCCUAUGCUACUCGAAUGCAGCAAAGCUUUUUUACCGCCAUGGAAGGAUCAGCUGUGGAAGCAGUACAAUAUCAUCCAGUGUAUCCUGACAAAAGGGGAAAGCUUGGCCAGUGUGACAGCUUAUUGAUCUUCAAUUACAAGAUACAAGUUACUGCUGGAGUGUUUACAGAAGGGUUGUAAGUUUCUAUCUAAACAGUGCAUUUAAACUGAUCUUCUACUAUAGAAUGUUCCCAUGUGCUAUUGGCAGUCAGCUGCUUCAAAUGCAUGUGCAUGGAGUGCAACCUGAAAUGCAGCAUGCUGUAGGAGAUGAUUAGAUAGUCUAAUGUAUGCUCUUUUUUAGGCUAAUAUAUCUGACCUUCUGACUUAACACACUCUUCUAGUCCUGAUUUUAUAUUUUCAACUCAAGCAAUCCCAGAUAGUGGUGUACAAUGUCAUUAAGCCACGCCAUAAUACUCUUAACAAGCAAUUGAUGUGGAAUCUUGAAUCUGAUGGAACCAUAUUGUAAUGCAAACUGAACAAUGUAUAUAAUGUUAAUUCUAAAAGCUGAGCUUAAUUUUUGUUCUGUUUGACCAAUAUUGCUAAUAGAGAAAAACAUUUUAAUUUCUGUGGAACUGCUCAUACACAUUUUUAAAAGUCUCGUAACUCUAUUACUUGUUCCUUGCUUUGAUUUUGUUUCUGGCUGUUGCAACAACAGUGAGGAUAAAUUUUUCCAAGUGCCCACCUGCUGGCUUCAUGGAUCACUUACAAAGUUGUCACUAGCAGAUAUCAGACUAGUCAACUGCAAAAAUGCUGUGGAUCAGAAUGAGCUAGCUGCUGCAGAAGAUCUUGGUUUGAUGACAGUCAAUGUGAAAACUGAUAGCUGCUGAAGUAUGUGAACCGGAGUUCUCUCAUUUAUGCUAGCACAAUACUCUUGCAAAGUGGUAGUCCAGUGUCCAACCACAAUGAAAUAGGAUGAAAAUCUCUCAACAAUACUUGUGGGUUUUUUGUUGUUGUUGCUUCUUUAUUUCCUUGUAAAUACUUUGCCAUUCUGAAGAAAUGGAGGCUAAGAUGAUUAAUAUUUCAAGCAGAAAAUAUUUUGUCAUCUGCCUGACUUCCCAUCCCAAACUUGUGUGGAAGGAUGGAAAGUAAAUGAAUUUGUUUGUGUGUCAAUUGAUUCACAAUACAUACUCAAAUUUGUGGAUUCUUGUAUUUCAGAACUAAGCAAAUAAACACCCUGAGGA